Non-coding RNA from Marasmius sp. AFHP31, 94 nucleotides. The record is from the annotation of a GenBank genome assembly. NCBI's taxonomy places the organism in Eukaryota, Fungi, Basidiomycota, Agaricomycetes, Agaricales, Marasmiaceae.
GGCCGUGUAGCGUAAUGGUUAACGCGCUAGUUUCCGGUGAGCAUCUCCCAGACCAGACAGCUAGAGAUUGUGGGUUCGAGUCCCACCAUGGUCG